This 466-nucleotide ribosomal RNA is filed under the name uncultured bacterium. RNAcentral's name for it is "partial 16S ribosomal RNA". It matches the Rfam family "Bacterial small subunit ribosomal RNA", at positions 28 to 507 of the family's 1533-position model. The record is from RNAcentral.
GAUGAACGCUGGCGGCGUGCUUAACACAUGCAAGUCGAACGAUGAAGCCCAGCUUGCUGGGUGUAUUAGUGGCGAACGGGUGAGUAACACGUGAGUAACCUGCCCUUAACUCUGUGAUAAGCCUGGGAAACUGGGGCUAUUACCGGAUAGGAGCGUCCACCGCAUGGUGGGUGUUGUAAAGAUUUAUCGGUUUUGGAUGGACUCGCGGCCUAUCAGCUUGUUGGUGAGGUAAUGGCUCACCAAGGCGACGACGGGUAGCCGGCCUGAGAGGGUGACCGGCCACACUGGGACUGAGACACGGCCCAGACUCCUACGGGAGGCAGCAGUGGGGAAUAUUGCACAAUGGGCGCAAGCCUGAUGCAGCGACGCCGCGUGAGGGAUGACGGCCUUCGGGUUGUAAACCUCUUUCAGUAGGGAAGAAGCGAAAGUGACGGUACCUGCAGAAGAAGCACCGGCUAACUACGUG